Molecule: ribosomal RNA, 253 nt
Filed under: uncultured bacterium
Lineage: Bacteria
Description: partial 16S ribosomal RNA
Rfam family: Bacterial small subunit ribosomal RNA
Source: RNAcentral
UACGAAGGGUGCAAACGUUGCUCGGAAUCACUAGGCGUAAAGCGCAGGUAGGCGGUUCGGUAAGUCUCUUGUGAAAGCUCCCGGCUCAACUGGGAGAGGUCAAGGGAAACUACCGGGCUAGAGUGUGGCAGAGGAAGCUGGAAUUCCCGGUGUAGCGGUGAAAUGCGUAGAGAUCGGGAGGAAUACCUAUGGCGAAAGCAGGCUUCUGGGCCGUCACUGACGCUGAUCUGCGAAAGCUAGGGGAGCAAACAGG